GAGCCCCGUUGCACCUCAGAUCCUUCGGGAAGGACCAUUCAGGUUGUCAUUCUUUAGUUGGCUCACAGCAGGACAAAUUCCUCUAAACUUCUUGCAUCAGCAUUUCAACAGACGCCCUUCACAGAUUAAAACGUAUUCUCCAUGUUAAGUAACUUACUGAAAUCAAAUUGGGCCCUCUGACAUGGACAUGAUUAGAAACUAAAGGGUGCAAAAGCUGGAUAGCUAGUACAUGGGGACCUUAAUGAAUCCUGGCCCCUCCAAAAAAUGAGUGCUUAAAACUCACCUGUUAACAAAUGUUGGCUGACCUUUGCUUAGCUAUGUAUUUUGAUACCACUCAUCUGUUCAUGUCCAUGUAGUUUUGGAUCUUUGCUUAGCUAUGUAUUUUGAUACCACUCACUUGUUCAUCUUCAUCAAAAAAUGUUGGCUGACCUUUAUGGUUCUUACCGAAUUUUGUUGCUGGUUCAUGUCUGAUAGGCCUGGAUUAUGGAAAUGGCUUCUUAUGUUAAGUCAAUAGACAGAAAUCAUUUGUUGGAAGCUGGUCUGGAAGGAUUUUAUGGACAAUCCACACCUCAGAGGACUCACCUCAAUCCUGGAUUGAAUAUAGGAACUGAUUUCGUUGCAAACAACCGUGUACCUGGCAUUGAUUUUGCUACCGUACAUUCCUAUCCAGAUAUCUGGUAAAUCUCAUUACAAUCCUCGGAUAAAUAAUCAUGGAUAUUAAUUUGGUUUUCAAGCUAAAUUGCAGCAAAGUCUGAUGAAUAUCUUGACUGGAGUGUUCUUGCCAUGUUGUUGUAUGAUUA
RNAcentral lists this long non-coding RNA (800 nucleotides) under Coffea arabica (coffee). RNAcentral's name for it is "long non-coding RNA (CARA_LNC004901)". Lineage: Eukaryota; Viridiplantae; Streptophyta; Magnoliopsida; Gentianales; Rubiaceae. The record is from RNAcentral.